AAGUCGUAACAAGGUUUCCGUAGGUGAACCUGCGGAAGGAUCAUUAAUGAUUUUUUAAUAUUUGUGAACGUACUACGAACAAACAAAAAAUAUUAUAGUCAAAAAAAAUUAAAUCAAAACUUUUAACAAUGGAUCUCUUGGUUCUC
RNAcentral lists this unclassified non-coding RNA (146 nucleotides) under fungal sp. RNAcentral's name for it is "partial internal transcribed spacer region". The stretch from base 1 to 46 matches the Rfam family "Eukaryotic small subunit ribosomal RNA", at positions 1786 to 1831 of the family's 1831-position model. Lineage: Eukaryota; Fungi. The record is from RNAcentral.